This 483-nucleotide ribosomal RNA is filed under the name uncultured bacterium. Its description in RNAcentral is "partial 16S ribosomal RNA". It matches the Rfam family "Bacterial small subunit ribosomal RNA", at positions 28 to 523 of the family's 1533-position model. The record is from RNAcentral.
GACGAACGCUGGCGGCGUGCUUAACACAUGCAAGUCGAACGAUGAAGCUUGAGCUUGCGCCAGUGGAUUAGUGGCGAACGGGGGAGUAACACGUGAGCAAUCUGCCCUUGACUCUGGGAAAAAUGCGGGAAACUGUAGCUAAUACCGGUUAUGACACCUUGGGGCAUCCCGAGGUGUGGAAAGAAUUUCGGUCAAGGAUGAGCUCGAGGCGUAUCAGCUUGUUGGUGAGGUAACGGCUCACCAAGGCGAAGACGGGUAGCCGGCCUGAGAGGGUGACCGGCCACACUGGAACUGAGACACGGUCCAGACGCCUACGGGAGGCAGCAGUGGGGAAUAUUGCACAAUGGGCGAAAGCCUGAUGCAGCAACGCCGCGUGAGGGAUGACGGCCUUCGGGUUGUAAACCUCUUUUAGCAGGGAAGAAGCGAAAGUGACGGUACCUGCAGAAAAAGCACCGGCUAACUACGUGCCAGCAGCCGCAGUAA